CGACCGCUGGCGGCGUGCCUACUACAUGCAAGUAGCACGCUGAAGGAGGAGCUUGCUUCUCUGGAUGAGUUGCGAACGGGUGAGUAACGCGUAGGUAACCUGCCUGGUAGCGGGGGAUAACUAUUGGAAACGAUAGCUAAUACCGCAUAAGAGUAGAUGUUGCAUGACAUUUGCUUAAAAGGUGCAAUUGCAUCACUACCAGAUGGACCUGCGUUGUAUUAGCUAGUUGGUGAGGUAACGGCUCACCAAGGCAACGAUACAUAGCCGACCUGAGAGGGUGAUCGGCCACACUGGGACUGAGACACGGCCCAGACUCCUACGGGAGGCAGCAGUAGGGAAUCUUCGGCAAUGGACGGAAGUCUGACCGAGCAACGCCGCGUGAGUGAAGAAGGUUUUCGGAUCGUAAAGCUCUGUUGUAAGAGAAGAACGAGUGUGAGAGUGGAAAGUUCACACUGUGACGGUAUCUUACCAGAAAGGGACGGCUAACUACGUG
This 493-nucleotide ribosomal RNA is filed under the name uncultured bacterium. RNAcentral's name for it is "partial 16S ribosomal RNA". It matches the Rfam family "Bacterial small subunit ribosomal RNA", at positions 30 to 507 of the family's 1533-position model. The record is from RNAcentral.